AGUGAACGCUGGCGGUAGGCCUAACACAUGCAAGUCGAACGGCAGCACAGUAAGAGCUUGCUCUUACGGGUGGCGAGUGGCGGACGGGUGAGGAAUACAUCGGAAUCUACUUUUUCGUGGGGGAUAACGUAGGGAAACUUACGCUAAUACCGCAUACGACCUACGGGUGAAAGCAUGGGAUCUUCGGACCUUGCGCGAUUGAAUGAGCCGAUGUCGGAUUAGCUAGUUGGCGGGGUAAAGGCCCACCAAGGCGACGAUCCGUAGCUGGUCUGAGAGGAUGAUCAGCCACACUGGAACUGAGACACGGUCCAGACUCCUACGGGAGGCAGCAGUGGGGAAUAUUGGACAAUGGGCGAAAGCCUGAUCCAGCCAUACCGCGUGGGUGAAGAAGGCCUUCGGGUUGUAAAGCCCUUUUGUUGGGAAAGAAAAGCAGCAGGUUAAUACCCCGCUGUUCUGACGGUACCCAAAGAAUAAGCACCGGCUAACUUCGUG
This 492-nucleotide ribosomal RNA is filed under the name uncultured bacterium. Its description in RNAcentral is "partial 16S ribosomal RNA". It matches the Rfam family "Bacterial small subunit ribosomal RNA", at positions 29 to 507 of the family's 1533-position model. The record is from RNAcentral.